Long non-coding RNA from Lolium perenne, 738 nucleotides. RefSeq lists it as uncharacterized. NCBI's taxonomy places the organism in Eukaryota, Viridiplantae, Streptophyta, Magnoliopsida, Poales, Poaceae. The record is from RefSeq and is a predicted model, not a curated record.
GACCGCGUCGUGAGCUCCUCCCGAUCUGAAUCCCCCACUCCCCCAAUCCUCUGCCUCCUGUGAUCCUGCCUUGAGACGUGACCCCCGCCGCUGCGGCGACGACACCAGAGCUUGCUGAUCCUCAGUUCCUUCUUCACUACAGAUCUCCUUUCCCGUGUGAUGAGCCCCUUUCACGCCGACGGCGGCGGUUCGUCGGUGUGGGAGUAGGUGUAGGUGCUGUCGGGGCGGCUCUACGGACUACGGUGACGGUGUUGGCGUCGUCGGUGUCGAAAGAUCGGAGUGCAGCCACCGCGGAUUGCCGGACGCACAUUUCUGCACCGCAUCCGCCUCGGCCGCCAUUCUGAUUACUUAACUUCCGGUUGAUGGAUUCGAGUUCUAUAACAGUUAUGCUCUUGAGAAAGAUUUUAGUCUGUAGAAAAGCUAUGUUGAGUGGAAUGAAACCAAGCAGGAGAUAAUUCAGAGGAAACUGGUCUGUACUCGAGAAGAGAAGCACAUGAAGAGAGAAGAUAGGAACACGAAGCCACAGAAUCUCACUCGUGUUGGAUGUCGAGCCAAAUUUGUUGUUGGAAGACUCAAAAAAAUGGGCCUAUAGUUUGUGAAAGAUUUUGUCGAUGAACACACCCGUCCGUUUCGAUAAUACAUAAAGUAGAUUGCAAAGCUAUUAGAUGAAAGCUGACUUGUAAUACACAUUUUAUGUUCUGCAAGAACAAAGAAAGAGCUAAUUUAAUAGCCUAGCUA